GGGUUGUGAGGUUAAGCGACUAAGCGUACACGGUGGAUGCCCUGGCAGUCAGAGGCGAUGAAGGGCGUGCUAAUCUGCGAUAAGCGCCGGUAAGGUGAUAUGAACCGUUAUAACCGGCGAUACCCGAAUGGGGAAACCCAGUGUGAUUCGUCACACUAUCAUUAACUGAAUCCAUAGGUUAAUGAGGCGAACCGGGGGAACUGAAACAUCUAAGUACCCCGAGGAAAAGAAAUCAACCGAGAUUCCCCCAGUAGCGGCGAGCGAACGGGGAGGAGCCCAGAGCCUGAAUCAGCAUGUGUGUUAGUGGAAGCGUCUGGAAAGGCGCGCGAUACAGGGUGACAGCCCCGUACACAAAAGCGCAUAUGCUGUGAGCUCGAUGAGUAGGGCGGGACACGUGGUAUCCUGUCUGAAUAUGGGGGGACCAUCCUCCAAGGCUAAAUACUCCUGACUGACCGAUAGUGAACCAGUACCGUGAGGGAAAGGCGAAAAGAACCCCGGCGAGGGGAGUGAAAAAGAACCUGAAACCGUGUACGUACAAGCAGUGGGAGCCCCACCACUAAGCCAGUGGUGAACUCCACAUACGCAUCCUUUGCUGAGGAGACGGUUAACGGAGCGAAAGCGACGUUCAACCUCAAAAGAAGCAGAGGGGGCUUAGUGGUGGGGUGACUGCGUACCUUUUGUAUAAUGGGUCAGCGACUUAUAUUCUGUAGCAAGGUUAACUGUAUAGGGGAGCCGGAGGGAAACCGAGUCUUAACCGGGCGUUAAGUUGCAGGGUAUAGACCCGAAACCCGGUGAUCUAGCCAUGGGCAGGUUGAAGGUUGGGUAACACUAACUGGAGGACCGAACCGACUAAUGUUGAAAAAUUAGCGGAUGACCUGUGGCUGGGGGUGAAAGGCCAAUCAAACCGGGAGAUAGCUGGUUCUCCCCGAAAGCUAUUUAGGUAGCGCCUCGUGAAUUCAUCUCCGGGGGUAGAGCACUGUUUCGGCUAGGGGGCCAUCCCGGCUUACCAACCCGAUGCAAACUGCGAAUACCGGAGAAUGUUAUCACGGGAGACACACGGCGGGUGCUAAUGUCCGUCGUGAAGAGGGAAACAACCCAGACCGCCAGCUAAGGUCCCAAAGUCAUGGUUAAGUGGGAAACGAUGUGGGAAGGCCCAGACAGCCAGGAUGUUGGCUUAGAAGCAGCCAUCAUUUAAAGAAAGCGUAAUAGCUCACUGGUCGAGUCGGCCUGCGCGGAAGAUGUAACGGGGCUAAACCAUGCACCGAAGCUGCGGCAGCGACACCGUGUGUUGUUGGGUAGGGGAGCGUUCUGUAAGCCUGUGAAGGUGUGCUGUGAGGCAUGCUGGAGGUAUCAGAAGUGCGAAUGCUGACAUAAGUAACGAUAAAGCGGGUGAAAAGCCCGCUCGCCGGAAGACCAAGGGUUCCUGUCCAACGUUAAUCGGGGCAGGGUGAGUCGACCCCUAAGGCGAGGCCGAAAGGCGUAGUCGAUGGGAAACGGGUUAAUAUUCCCGUACUUGGUGUUACUGCGAAGGGGGGACGGAGAAGGCUAUGUUGGCCGGGCGACGGUUGUCCCGGUUUAAGCGUGUAGGUAUGUGUUCCAGGUAAAUCCGGUUCACUUUAACACUGAGGCGUGACGACGAGGCACUACGGUGCUGAAGCAACAAAUGCCCUGCUUCCAGGAAAAGCCUCUAAGCAUCAGGUAACAUCAAAUCGUACCCCAAACCGACACAGGUGGUCAGGUAGAGAAUACCAAGGCGCUUGAGAGAACUCGGGUGAAGGAACUAGGCAAAAUGGUGCCGUAACUUCGGGAGAAGGCACGCUGACACGUAGGUGAAGUGAUUUACUCACGGAGCUGAAGUCAGCCGAAGAUACCAGCUGGCUGCAACUGUUUAUUAAAAACACAGCACUGUGCAAACACGAAAGUGGACGUAUACGGUGUGACGCCUGCCCGGUGCCGGAAGGUUAAUUGAUGGGGUCAGCGCAAGCGAAGCUCCUGAUCGAAGCCCCGGUAAACGGCGGCCGUAACUAUAACGGUCCUAAGGUAGCGAAAUUCCUUGUCGGGUAAGUUCCGACCUGCACGAAUGGCGUAAUGAUGGCCAGGCUGUCUCCACCCGAGACUCAGUGAAAUUGAACUCGCUGUGAAGAUGCAGUGUACCCGCGGCAAGACGGAAAGACCCCGUGAACCUUUACUAUAGCUUGACACUGAACAUUGAGCCUUGAUGUGUAGGAUAGGUGGGAGGCUUUGAAGUGUGGACGCCAGUCUGCAUGGAGCCGACCUUG
RNAcentral lists this ribosomal RNA (2279 nucleotides) under Salmonella enterica. RNAcentral's name for it is "partial 23S ribosomal RNA". It matches the Rfam family "Bacterial large subunit ribosomal RNA", at positions 1 to 2194 of the family's 2925-position model. Lineage: Bacteria; Pseudomonadati; Pseudomonadota; Gammaproteobacteria; Enterobacterales; Enterobacteriaceae. The record is from RNAcentral.